This is a long non-coding RNA of Nanorana parkeri, 357 nucleotides long. RefSeq lists it as uncharacterized. The record is from RefSeq and is a predicted model, not a curated record. The transcript has 4 exons. NCBI's taxonomy places the organism in Eukaryota, Metazoa, Chordata, Amphibia, Anura, Dicroglossidae.
GUGAGAAGAAGCGAGCCACAUAGAGCAGGACAAGUUUAAGGAGCAGCAGCACAGUGCGCCAUCCACACCCUGUACGGAAGCAGUACAGAAGCAGCACAGCCAGGCUGCAUCCAUCCUCCCAAGCAGCGGUAUGAAGCAAGCUCUCAUGGAGGUCAUGAGGAUGAAUCGGAUCUGCAGGAUGGUGCUGGUCACUUGCUUAGGAUCUUUCGUCCUGGUCAUCUUCUAUUUCCAAAGUAUGUUACACCCAGUAAUGCACAGAAAUCGCUUCGGAAUGGAAAUUUGCUGCCGGAAGGGGUCACGUAGUCCACUCCAGGAACUCUACAAUCCAACACAGGUAGACCUCUCCAGCAUUGUUGU